AUGCACGCUGGCGGCGUGCCUCAUACAUGCAAGUCGAGCGAACAGAUAAGGAGCUUGCUCCUUUGACGUUAGCGGCGGACGGGUGAGUAACACGUGGGUAACCUACCUAUAAGACUGGAAUAACUCCGGGAAACCGGGGCUAAUGCCGGAUAACAUUUAGAACCGCAUGGUUCUAAAGUGAAAGAUGGUUUUGCUAUCACUUAUAGAUGGACCCGCGCCGUAUUAGCUAGUUGGUAAGGUAACGGCUUACCAAGGCAACGAUACGUAGCCGACCUGAGAGGGUGAUCGGCCACACUGGAACUGAGACACGGUCCAGACUCCUACGGGAGGCAGCAGUAGGGAAUCUUCCGCAAUGGGCGAAAGCCUGACGGAGCAACGCCGCGUGAGUGAUGAAGGUCUUCGGAUCGUAAAACUCUGUUAUUAGGGAAGAACAAAUGUGUAAGUAACUGUGCACGUCUUGACGGUACCUAAUCAGAAAGCCACGGCUAACUACGUG
RNAcentral lists this ribosomal RNA (496 nucleotides) under uncultured bacterium. Its description in RNAcentral is "partial 16S ribosomal RNA". It matches the Rfam family "Bacterial small subunit ribosomal RNA", at positions 29 to 507 of the family's 1533-position model. The record is from RNAcentral.